This 63-nucleotide transfer RNA is filed under the name Calacanthia angulosa. Its description in RNAcentral is "tRNA-Glu". It matches the Rfam family "tRNA". From Rfam's summary of the family: Transfer RNA (tRNA) molecules are approximately 80 nucleotides in length. Their secondary structure includes four short double-helical elements and three loops (D, anti-codon, and T loops). The record is from RNAcentral. Lineage: Eukaryota; Metazoa; Arthropoda; Insecta; Hemiptera; Saldidae.
AUUUAUAUAGUUUAUAAAAACAUUUCAUUUUCAAUGAAAAAAUAAGCUAAAGCUUUAUAAAUA